AGCUUCUGUUACACUUCCAUUAAUGGCUACCAAAACUUUUGUGUUGAAUUUCUUCAUGUUUUCUUGUAUUCUCUUGACCUUCAUGAGCUUCAAGCUCUCAACGGCUCAAAUGGUGCCGGCUGUGUUCGUUUUCGGCGACUCCCUUGUGGACGUGGGCAACAACAAUUACCUUCCACUGUCUCUUGCCAAAGCAAAUUUUCCUCACAACGGUAUCGAUUUUCCUAC
RNAcentral lists this unclassified non-coding RNA (225 nucleotides) under Hevea brasiliensis (rubber tree). Lineage: Eukaryota; Viridiplantae; Streptophyta; Magnoliopsida; Malpighiales; Euphorbiaceae. The record is from RNAcentral.